Apis florea (little honeybee) is the source of this 306-nucleotide long non-coding RNA. Lineage: Eukaryota; Metazoa; Arthropoda; Insecta; Hymenoptera; Apidae. The record is from RefSeq and is a predicted model, not a curated record.
CUCGAUCAUAAAGUUUUUCGAAAUUUUAAUUAAGUUUCUACAAUCUUUUUCCUUUGUCGCGCGACCUUUAAAUUUCAAAAACUUCCACCGUAUCAUUCUAUUUUGUGAUUGAAGUUCUGCUACGAACGCGUUUCAAAAAACGAAGUUAUUCAGGAUUCGUUCGGGUAUAUUCGUCUAUCUUCGCUGAAAUUGUAUUGACCCACAAAUUACCUCCCUUGCUUGUCGACACGCGGUUAGAUGGACAUGCUGAUUUGUAUUUCGGCGCGAAUUUCUUAUAAAAUCUUUUUUUUUCGUGAUGAAUGAAUG